Non-coding RNA from Phrynosoma platyrhinos (Desert horned lizard), 71 nucleotides. Lineage: Eukaryota; Metazoa; Chordata; Lepidosauria; Squamata; Phrynosomatidae. The record is from the annotation of a GenBank genome assembly.
GCCAGCAUGGUGUAGUGGUUUGAGUACUGGACUAUGACUCUGGAGACCAAGGUUCAAAUCCCAGCUUGGCC